This is a non-coding RNA of Parelaphostrongylus tenuis, 74 nucleotides long. NCBI's taxonomy places the organism in Eukaryota, Metazoa, Nematoda, Chromadorea, Rhabditida, Metastrongylidae. The record is from the annotation of a GenBank genome assembly.
GCGUCAGUAAUGUAACGGAUAGAGUAUCCGCUCCUGAAAAGAGUGAGGUGCGGGUUCUAGUCCCGCCUGACGCG